This 2515-nucleotide long non-coding RNA is filed under the name Pan troglodytes (chimpanzee). RNAcentral's name for it is "lincRNA". The record is from RNAcentral. Lineage: Eukaryota; Metazoa; Chordata; Mammalia; Primates; Hominidae.
GUUCUGGGCCCAGAUCGCCAGAUCCCCAUAAGUCAGCGAUGAGGGAGGCCGAGCAGGGGCUGCCCGUUAGACGGCCGCAGAGUCCCAGCCCCCAGCCCUGCUCACCUUUCUUACCUCUCUGGCCCCGUCGGCAUUUGAGCCUGGGACCCCAGACGAAAGGAUACGCUUCCUUUUAGAACCCCUGCCAAUCUGAGGACGGGGCCACCCCACAGACGCCGUGGCUCAGCAAGCAGACCAAUGGCCGAGGAGUCUGGCAAGAGGCGCUUGGCAGAUGAGAGUGGAGUCUGUAAAUCACCCUCCAUGCAAUGGUUCAUCAUAAAGGAUAUGGAGCAAAAUUAGAGGAGGCACGAGAAGGAAAGCCGGUGAUGAACAAGGAAAGUGCCUGGUUGAAGCUAGCUUGCAAUCCCCAAAGUCAGAAGGUUGCCUGGGAAGCCAUGAAACAAAGCCAAAUCAAGGCAAAGCAGACACAUGGAGAUUUUGAGACUGAGAAGAGGAAAACUGAGGACAUUCAUGUGAGAUGGUUUCAAGUUUCCCUUAGAAGGAGAAGUUAUCUUCAGAAGGUCAGGUUGGUGAGGUGGGAGUUCAAAAACAACAAAGUAUGUAGCUACCAUUGUGAGGAAGACCAUGGAAAAUGGAUGAAUCAGAAUGAAAGGCUUUCUGAACAAGAGGGAGUUUCCCUGCACAAGCUCCCUCCUGCCUGCUGCCAUGUGAGACGUGCGUUUUGCCUUCCACCAUGACUGUGAGGCCUCUUCCCCGGCCACGUGGAACUCCCAGAGACAGAAGCAGAUAAUGCAAGUGUCAUCUACAUCUGGCAAAAGCCAAAGGUUUGGAAGAUGGAAAAAGGAAUCCAGGCAAAAAGGAGCCCAAGAUUGAAGUGAAUGACCAGGUGCACCAGUUCAAAUGCAAUCAGGAGGGAGAGGGGUAGAGGGAGAAGCCUAGAGCAGCGCUUCUCAAACUGACUAUUCAAGUCACCUGGAGAUCUUGGUGAAAUGCAGACUCUGGUGCAGUAGGUCCUGGUGGGAACUUGAAAUUCUGCAUUUUGACCAAGCUCCAAGGUGAACGUUCAGUGCUGUUGUCCUUGGCCCACAGCGGGAGGAGCAGGGAUCUAAGACUUGGAGAUCAAAUGUCAAGCUCAGAAGAAAGACUGGAAGUUUGGGGACAAAACCCAAAUAUGGCUAAAGAAAGCCUGUAGGAUGAAGUUGGAAGUUCCAGAGCCUUCUCUUCACAUAAUGGGACAUGCAAGGGGGAAACCAAAUCAAAAGUGUAGAAUGCGUCGCUGGAUGUCUUUGACAUGUUAUUGUUCUGAUAGAAUAUCAGCGGGGAGCGACUGAGGACCUCCUCACUACCCUCCCUUGGAAGAGUUUGUCUGCAAUGGAGCCAACACAGUGGAAAGCAGAGCUGAGAAAUGGACAAACAACUCCUGAUGCCUCAUUUGAGCACCUGGAUUUAGCCACGUCUGAAGCUAUUAUAUCCUUGAACUUUUGAAUCAUGUAGGUUACCAUAAUUCCUUUUUUGUUAAAGCUAAUUUGAGUUGGGUUUCUAUCACUUGCAAUCAACAAUUGACCAGGUGCUUAGUAGAUAAUGAAUGAGUGAAUGAACAAAUUCAAUUCUGUAAGUAUUUAUCAUCUCCUUACACGGCAGGCACUGUUUUAAGUCCCAAAAAAAGAGGCAGAGGAGCGACAGAGAUGACUUCCUCCCUUGAAAACGAAGCAUGUGGCCUGACAACCUAAAAUUGGGGUCAAUCCAUCCAAUUAUGGUGACUGCUUAGAAAUAUCCCUUUUCCUCCCAACGUUUUCCUUUCCUUCUCCCAUAAACAUAAUAAUGUCUCCUGCCAGUACUAAGGCAUGGCCCAUGGACCCACUAACACCUAUGCUCACGUUAGCUCUUGAGGCCGAGUGGCUUGGUUCUAUCUGGUUAUCAGAUGCAAACUUCAUCACAGCAGGGAUUUGGGCUAGACAUUAGAGGAAUAGUGUGGUACCAGAUGGUGUUUCUGAAGAAGGUUGUCCUAUUUUUGCAGUUUAAGGAUUUGAUAAUAAAUCUGCCUGGCAGCCCUCAGAUGUGAUUUGGCCUUGAAAUUGUCUCUGUUAAUCCUUGAUGCUGUGUGUAUCUGUCAAGGUCCAACCAGAAAAAACAGAACCUGCUCUAAGUAUCUGAACAAAGGGAAAUUUAAUGUAAGGAGCUGAUUGCACAGAUGAAGGAAGGGGCUGGGAGGCAAACAAGAGGGAACUGUGAGGUAACCCAGGGAUUUGCCACAGUAGGAAGACAUGACCACUACUAGGAUAGAGAGGUAAAAAAUAAAAAAAUUAAAAAAGAGGUGGUGUUACUUGUAUUCAGGAGGUGGAGUCAUCCAGAGGAGGCUGAAGCCAUGGCAGGUCUGUGUGGCAGAAGCUGCUGCCAAGGAAGACAUACCAUGGCUCCAAGAAAAGCUGCCAGAGACAGAAAGUGUGGGGGAGAAAGAUUCUUCCUUUUCCCUGCCUCCCACCUCUCAAACUCACCGCAGAGCUUCCCCUUGGCC